ACAAACUUGGUCAUUUAGAGGAAGUAAAAGUCGUAACAAGGUUUCCGUAGGUGAACCUGCGGAAGGAUCAUUACACUCAGUAGUUUACUACUGUAAAGGAGGCUGUUAGUCUGUAUAGCGCAAGCUGAUGAGCAGCUGGCCUCUUUUAUCACCCUUGUCUUUUGCGUACCCACGUUUCCUCGGUAGGCUUGCCUGCCGAUUGGACAAAUCUAUAACCUUUUUAAUUUUCAAUCAGCGUCUGAAAAACUUAAUAAUUACAACUUUCAACAACGGAUCUCUUGGUUCUGGCAUCGAUGAAGAACGCAGC
This 307-nucleotide unclassified non-coding RNA is filed under the name uncultured fungus. RNAcentral describes it as "partial contains small subunit ribosomal RNA, internal transcribed spacer 1, and 5.8S ribosomal RNA". The stretch from base 1 to 73 matches the Rfam family "Eukaryotic small subunit ribosomal RNA", at positions 1759 to 1831 of the family's 1831-position model. Lineage: Eukaryota; Fungi. The record is from RNAcentral.